AUGACUUUUACACAUAACUUAUAUGAUGAUAUGUAUUGAUUUCAGGUACUUGAUUGAGGAGUCUUGACCUUUUUGGCUGAAGACUAGCAUUCAUAUUCAAGACAUUUAUCUUGAUUUGAGGCCUAUUGAAAUUUAUAUUUGCUUAACUUUUGAAAUGGGCGACUUAUUCUUCCAUGAUGGUUUCAUGACAUUACAGCCCUAAACUAUCUUUUUUUUUUGAACGGCAACAAUGAUAUAUUAUAUCAAACAACCUUUCCACUCUGCACAUCUUGGAUUUGAAUACCUGAUCGUUCCUAUUUUGCCAAAGACACCACAGAGCCGCAUACAUUACAACUAUUAGCACCUGAUCAUUCCUAUUACGCCUAAACUAUCUAUGCUUAUGAUUUAUCGACCAUGGAUGUCCUUAGUUUAGGGCGUUACAAAACAUUGGGGAACAAUUUUAAUACACGAUGUAAUUAAGGAAUUUGAGGUCCUUUAGUGUAAAAAGGAUAAUUGAGUGUUUGUAAGGUAAUAAAUUUUCCCAUUUACGAA
This 531-nucleotide long non-coding RNA is filed under the name Helianthus annuus (common sunflower). The record is from RNAcentral. Lineage: Eukaryota; Viridiplantae; Streptophyta; Magnoliopsida; Asterales; Asteraceae.